Molecule: transfer RNA, 87 nt
Filed under: Opitutales bacterium
Lineage: Bacteria; Pseudomonadati; Verrucomicrobiota; Opitutia; Opitutales
Description: tRNA-Leu
Rfam family: tRNA
About the family: Transfer RNA (tRNA) molecules are approximately 80 nucleotides in length. Their secondary structure includes four short double-helical elements and three loops (D, anti-codon, and T loops). Further hydrogen bonds mediate the characteristic L-shaped molecular structure. tRNAs have two regions of fundamental functional importance: the anti-codon, which is responsible for specific mRNA codon recognition, and the 3' end, to which the tRNAs corresponding amino acid is attached (by aminoacyl-tRNA synthetases). tRNAs cope with the degeneracy of the genetic code in two manners: having more than one tRNA (with a specific anti-codon) for a particular amino acid; and 'wobble' base-pairing, i.e. permitting non-standard base-pairing at the 3rd anti-codon position.
Source: RNAcentral
GCCGGGGUGGCGGAAUUGGUAGACGCGCUAGAUUCAGGUUCUAGUGUCUGAAAAGACGUGCGAGUUCAAAUCUCGCCCUCGGCACCA